UGCCCCAUGGCUGAGUUGGUUACAGCGUCCGACUGUUAAGUAUAUCGUAAGAUACCUGAAUAUCGGAAGGUCGUGAGUUCGAGCCUCACUGGGGCAG
RNAcentral lists this transfer RNA (97 nucleotides) under Trametes sanguinea. RNAcentral describes it as "tRNA-Asn". It matches the Rfam family "tRNA". Rfam says of the family: Transfer RNA (tRNA) molecules are approximately 80 nucleotides in length. Lineage: Eukaryota; Fungi; Basidiomycota; Agaricomycetes; Polyporales; Polyporaceae. The record is from RNAcentral.